AUUGAACGCUGGCGGCAUGCUUUACACAUGCAAGUCGAACGGUAACAGGCCGCAAGGUGCUGACGAGUGGCGAACGGGUGAGUAAUGCAUCGGAACGUGCCCAGUCGUGGGGGAUAACUACUCGAAAGAGUAGCUAAUACCGCAUACGAUCUAUGGAUGAAAGCGGGGGACCGUAAGGCCUCGCGCGAUUGGAGCGGCCGAUGUCAGAUUAGGUAGUUGGUGGGGUAAAGGCUCACCAAGCCAACGAUCUGUAGCUGGUCUGAGAGGACGACCAGCCACACUGGGACUGAGACACGGCCCAGACUCCUACGGGAGGCAGCAGUGGGGAAUUUUGGACAAUGGGCGCAAGCCUGAUCCAGCAAUGCCGCGUGCAGGAAGAAGGCCUUCGGGUUGUAAAAUGCUUUUGUACGGAACGAAACGGCUCUGGUUAAUACCCGGGGCUAAUGACGGUACCGAAAGAAUAAGCACCGGCUAACUACGUG
RNAcentral lists this ribosomal RNA (482 nucleotides) under uncultured bacterium. Its description in RNAcentral is "partial 16S ribosomal RNA". It matches the Rfam family "Bacterial small subunit ribosomal RNA", at positions 30 to 507 of the family's 1533-position model. The record is from RNAcentral.